Molecule: RNA transcript, 3745 nt
Organism: Anthonomus grandis grandis
Lineage: Eukaryota; Metazoa; Arthropoda; Insecta; Coleoptera; Curculionidae
Gene name: patched domain-containing protein 3-like
Exons: 16
Source: RefSeq, a predicted model, not a curated record
GAGCGCGCGACAUUGUGUCACACGACUUUACGUUUUUUUUUACUUAUAAAUCGAUAAUUUUGUAAUUGAUCGAGUGGUUCGAAUUCAUUCGUGAUAAAAUUAUGACGCCGGUUAUUUAGGGAUGAUAUUUGUUUUGUCGUUUUUUUUGUACUUAUUUUAGAUUUUAAAUACAUUAAGGAUAUUAAACACUUUGUUAAACAGAUGAUGGGCAUAAAAAUAGUAGCCGAGUACCUUAAUAGAAGUUUCUACAAUCUGGGUCUGGUUGUGGGAAAGCAUCCAGGUUACUUCCUAAUUAUGCCAGUUUUAAUCACUUUACUGGGCAUGACUGGAUACCAAAGAAUACAUAAUAAUAUCGAUCCAGAGUAUUUGUUUAGUCCGGUUAAUGGACAAGGGAAAAUGGAGAGGGCCAUAGUGGAGGAAUAUUUUAAAGUUAAUUAUACCAGUAGGUUUAACGUUGCGAGGAUUACUAGAGCAGGUAGAUUUGGAAGAUUGAUAAUAACAUCCAAAGAUGAUAACAAGGACAUGCUUCGAAUGAGCGUAUGGAAGGAAAUGCGUGAAUUGGAUAAUCUCAUACAAGAUAUGACGGUGGAAUAUAAGGGAGAAUAUUUCAAUUACAGUAGCAUCUGUGCCAAAUGGAUGGACGAUUGUUUUUUUAACGAUAUUUUGAAUUUGGAGUAUGUUAUAGACAAGGUUGAAUUAGGGGAAUGGCAAUUAACAUUCCCUUUAACUUUGAACAUCAUGACUCUGGAUGUGCACGUGCUCCCUGUUUUCUUUGGAGGAACCCAAGUGACCGAGGAGGGAUUUGUUAAGAGCGUCCCAUCAGUGCAAUUAGUCUAUUUUGGGAAUGCUGAUACGAAAAAAAUGGACACUCUUGGUGCCUCCUGGGAAGAUGCUUUUCUUGACCUCAUAGAGAGAGUGCAGGAUAUAGAAAAUAGGUUUAGGCAUAUCAGAAUUGCUAGGUUUACCUCCAGGACACUCGAUCAUGAGCUGGAGAAGAAUACUCAUUCUGUGAUACCGUAUUUUACUUCGACAUUUUUAAUUAUGGCCAUAUUUUCUGUAGUGACUUGUAUGAUGACUGAUUGGGUACGAUCCAAACCAUGGCUUGGCCUAUUAGGGAAUCUCAGUGCUGCCAUGGCCACACUUUGUGCCUUCGGGUUUUGCAUGUAUGCGGGGGUCGAUUUUAUUGGAAUCAAUUUGGCUGCUCCAUUUUUAAUGAUUGGAAUUGGAAUAGACGACACAUUUGUAAUGUUGGCGGCAUGGAGAAGAACUUCUAUAAAAUCCCCAGUUCCGGAACGGAUAGCGCAAAUGUUAAGCGAAGCGGCAGUUUCCAUUACGAUAACAUCAGUAACGGAUUUUUUCAGUUUCUGGAUCGGAAUUUUCAGUCCUUUUCCUUCUGUUACUAUUUUCUGUAUUUACUCUGGUGCUGCCACUAUACUUUUGUUCAUUUGGCAUUUGACAUUUUUCACCGCCUGCGUGGCUAUUUCCGGUUAUUGCGAGCAAAAAAACCUCCAUUCGGUGUUUUGUUUCAAAGUACAGCCUCUAUCAAAAUCAGAAGACAGAUAUUGGCUCUACAGAGCCUUCUGCAGUGGCGGUUUUAACCCUGAUGAUGCAGACAAUCCAAAAGAUAACAAUGAGCAUGGAGUUAUGAUCUUCUUUAAAGAUUAUUUUGCUGCAUUUUUAAACAAUGGAUAUGUUAAAUUUCUAGUGAUUUUAAUAUUCGGUCUCUAUUUGGUGGGAGCUAGUUACGGAAUUACUAAAAUCAAAGAGGGAUUAGAAAGGAGGAAAGUUACCCAAAAUGGGUCGUAUGCCAUCGAGUUUUUCGAUCGGGAGGAUGAUUAUUAUCGAGAGUUUCCCUAUAGAUUACAAGUGAUUGUGGCAGGUGACUAUGACUACUCAGAUCCAAAAGUUCAACAGAAAGUAGAAAAACUAACUCAAACUUUCGAAAAUACUUCAUACGUUACCAACAUUUAUACUGAGUCCUGGUUAAGAGACUUUUUAAAUUAUAUAGAAAGAAAUUUUGAUGAUCACAAUACCCCAACCAAUACUACAAAAGGUUUUAUAGAUGCACUAGAAGAACAUAAAUGGCUUGACCCAUCAAGCUCUUACUCUUUGGACGUCAGAUUCGAUGAGAAACACGAAAAAAUUAUCGCCAUGAGAUUUCUCAUUCAAGCAGUGAACAUUUCUGGCACAGAGCAUGAAAAGGAAAUGGUCAGAGCCCUUAGGAAAAUUUGCGAAGAUUCACCUCUUAAUGUCACAGUAUUUCAUCCAUAUUUUGUAUUUUUUGACCAGUUUGAGCUAGUACGUCCCUUAACAAUACAGAACAUCAUCAUAGGAGGUGCAAUAAUGAUGAUAGUGUCGUUCAUAUUCAUCCCAAAUAUUUUCUGUGCCUUUUGGGUGGCAUUCAGUAUUGUAUCCAUCGAGGCUGGUGUAGUGGGAUAUAUGGCACUAUGGAAAGUAAAUCUGGAUUCCAUUUCCAUGAUUAACCUGAUCAUGUGUAUUGGGUUCAGUGUGGACUUUACGGCACAUAUUUGUUAUGCCUAUAUGUCUUCUCCGGAGAACGCGCCCAAAGGGAAGAUGAGGGACGCAUUGUAUGCACUGGGAUUACCCAUUUUCCAAGUUUCCAACAUGCAAAGAAGACUGGAGAAGUAUCGCAUCCGGUUUUGAAUCCCGAUGGAAUUUUCCUAACUGUGCAGGAGCCCCAGACGGAAAGCAUAUUCGAAUAGUACCACCACCAAGAACAGAAAACACUUGGGUAUGUCGAAAUUGAAAUUUACCUGUCUCCUGCUCUAUGUAAUUGCACGAUGAUUCGAUGUUGGCACGUUUGUAGAAUAAUUUAUCAACCCAGGACUCAUGCUUGGCUUGUUUUCCACCCAAAGAGAACUUAAGAAAGACAAUCAUCAAAUACGACAGUUAAAAUGUCAUUAACGUCAUUUUCCGAUUAGUUGUCCAUGAUAAAAUUACCAUGUCUGAUCGUUUAAGUUCUAGUGAUGAGGACUUGGAGAACCUCUUAGAAGUUACCGAAGUUCCCAAAAAUGUUGGAUAUUUUGAAAACAUUGUCCCACAAUUUGAUAACAACCUGCAUUUUCAAAUAAGCUCAGCACUCACUAAUGAACUGGCAGAUCGAUUUGCUGCAUCCCAAUAUUAUAUAGAACAAAAAGGAGACAGUAUUUCUUUGGUUUAUUGGAAAUAGGGCAAGGCAGAGUCUUUUAGAAAUGUUGGAGAUCGAUUUAAUCUAAAUAAGAGCUUGAUUUUUAAGGUUGUAAAAAGGGUGUCAUAUUUUCGAAGUAAGUUGUCUCCUGAAAUUAUUAACUGGCUUGGUAACGAGGAAAAACUGGACAUCUAACAACACUUUUCAAAUCAUGAUUUGCCUGGAGUAAUUAGUAUCAUUGAGGGUACACACAUAAAAAUAGAUACGCCAGCUGAAAUUUUAAUACCCUUAAAGAAAAGUGUAGUGAUAACUUUAUCAUUGGUUACAGUGGAUGAUCUUUAAAACAUCUUUUAACCCCCUUUUAGAAUAACCUUACUAGACGACAAAGAAAUUAUAAUUUAAUUUUUUCUUAAAAUAGAUAUCUAAUUGAGCAUAGUUUUGGUAUUAUGAAGCAGAAAUUCAGACAAUUGUAUCAUGUCAAAAUUAAGAACAUAGAAGAUAUUGUUCAUUUAAUCCGAGCUUGUGCAGUUUUGUAUAAUAUAUGCAUAGAUGAGCAAUUACUGGAAGAUAAAAUAUUAGAGAAGAAAUUGUUAUUGG